GGGAAGUGAUGGCACUGGGAAUUCUACAGCCACGAGUGCUGCCUGUGCAGGGCAGGGACGCAGGAGGGUGGCACAGGGCAUGGAUCUCAUGGAGCUUUGUGUUUUUUCCCCUCUCCUUAGUGCGUGUUCAUGAGUGGGAGCAUGGGAGGAAGGCGAGCGCUGCUGCGCACCAAGGUCAUGGGAGAAGAGAGAGUACAUGGAAGGAAAAAGGCAGAACACAGGAGCAGCUCUACUGACCACUCACCGAGAAAACUGGAACACCUCUUACCACACCAACUGUUGGUGAUGAUAAGGCAAGAUGUUACCAACAAAGAUGAAUUCCUACAGCUGAGCACAGCCUGUACUUACCCAUCCCACCCCCUGCAGCACAGAUUUUGUCUCUGAUGGCAGCAGGAGGUGACAUGGGGGGCAGGGCAGCGGUGAGCCCUUCCCUGCAUCACUGCUGAAGAACGCCAGCAGCACCUCUGUGUGCUGAGCAUGGCAGGUGUCCAGCACUGACAAACACCGUGCCAUUACCAGCUGUCCUGUCGCUGACAUGGCAGGCACUUCUUCAUUUUUUAAGGCGUGGAUUUCUGCCUAGACCUGCUGUACCUGUUCAGGUGCUGAAGUACCAUUAUCUAAUGAUAUACCCUGGGCUGUUUGCAGUGUUUUAUUUGUUUUUGUUUUAACUUGAAGUUAUGGAGAGCUGCCCUUUGAGCUGUCCUCAGCCUCCUGCUGAUUCGUGCAGUGAAGGGAAUUUCAGCUCUGGGCCACGUGGCACCAAGAGAGCACCUGCAAUUAAUAACACUGCAUUCAGAAACCUGCAUGGAAUAACGAGCACUCGGAUGUCUUGUGCUCUAACCCCCCACCUUUCACAGGAUGCAAUGAAAAUUACUCUGAAUGCCUCACCAGCAGCUGCAACAUGUGCUAAACCAACCAGCUGCUGGCUGGUCCCCUUCCUUGCUCUGAACGUUGUGUAAAAAUGCUAAUAACCCCACCUAUUCUUCAGAGUAAAACCUCACGCAUUUACACUCUUACUCAAUUGCCUCCAAGGCAACUGCACACACGUGGGCACGGCUUGCAGGUGCUUCCCAGCAUGGUGCCAGAGAGCCAGCAGCAGCACUGGCACAAGCUGGAGCAUUUUGGUUUAGCCGUGUGCUGCAUCCCACUGCACUGACAGCUGCUAUUUGCUCAAGCUGUUUUCCUUAAUGAGGGUUCCCCUGUUGAAGACUGAUGAAUUGGAAGCCUUUUCUUCAAUGACAUUCAAGGUAAAUCCCUCUUAAGCAGCAUCAGUCCAUCACAGGGGAGCACCAAAUCCUGUCUCACACAGCUCCUACAGUGAAACCUACCAAUGCAACAUUGUCCUGGGCAAAGGAGAAACGGUUUCUGGAUGCAAAAACAGCAAUUGUAUCACCUUUUGCCAGUCAAGAUUUAUUAUAUUAUCUAUUGAUAAUAUAUUGAUAAUAUAUAUCGAUUAUUAUUGAUAUUAUAUAUCAAUAAUUGAUAUUAUAUAUCAAGCUAUCAAAGGACCUUAUUUCCUGAGAAACAGCUCCAGCAGUCUGCAUGUACAAGGAAAACUGAAUCCAAAUAGUUCAGAAAUCUUUGCUACUCCUACAAAUCAUGUUUCAGAACACCUUGUAAUAAAUCAAAAAACCUUUAUUUUUAAGUUAUAAUAUAAAUUUACAGCACACAUAACAUCAGUGUCUUUAGUGUGUAUGUGUGAGCAGGCUUAAAGACUCAGCAUUCAUUCUAGUCUUGCUCAUGGGUAUGACUUCUCCACAUGCUAAAGGUACAUAACUGUUCCAAUCUGAACAGGUCUGGCUUAGCUAAUGACCUCAAUAACCUCUAGGAAAAUAUUUCAAUAGACAACAGCAAAUGUUUAGAAGAAAAACAAGUCAGUAGCACUUCUUACUUGCUGCCUGAAGGGCUCUGUAUUGAAGCAAAGCCUGCUGCUGGGCUCCCCAGCCAGGGAGAAGUCAGUGACCCACAUCAGCGUGUCCAGAAUGAACCCUGAAUUCCACA
This is a long non-coding RNA of Gallus gallus (chicken), 2001 nucleotides long. RefSeq lists it as uncharacterized. The transcript has 2 exons. The record is from RefSeq and is a predicted model, not a curated record. Lineage: Eukaryota; Metazoa; Chordata; Aves; Galliformes; Phasianidae.